UGGGGAAUAUUGCACAAUGGGCGCAAGCCUGAUGCAGCCAUGCCGCGUGUGUGAAGAAGGCCUUCGGGUUGUAAAGCACUUUCAGCGAGGAGGAAGGUGGUGAGCCUAAUACGCUCAUCAAUUGACGUUACUCGCAGAAGAAGCACCGGCUAACUCCGUGCCAGCAGCCGCGGUAAUACGGAGGGUGCAAGCGUUAAUCGGAAUUACUGGGCGUAAAGCGCACGCAGGCGGUUUGUUAAGUCAGAUGUGAAAUCCCCGGGCUCAACCUGGGAACUGCAUUUGAAACUGGCAAGCUAGAGUCUCGUAGAGGGGGGUAGAAUUCCAGGUGUAGCGGUGAAAUGCGUAGAGAUCUGGAGGAAUACCGGUGGCGAAGGCGGCCCCCUGGACGAAGACUGACGCUCAGGUGCGAAAAGCGUGGGGAGCAAAACAGGAUUAGAUACCCUGGUAGUCCACGCUGUAAAACGAUGUCGAUUUUGGAGGUUGUGCCCUUGAGGCGUGGCUUCCGGAGCUAACGCGUUAAAUCGACCGCCU
Molecule: ribosomal RNA, 531 nt
Filed under: uncultured bacterium
Lineage: Bacteria
Description: partial 16S ribosomal RNA
Rfam family: Bacterial small subunit ribosomal RNA
Source: RNAcentral